RNAcentral lists this ribosomal RNA (497 nucleotides) under uncultured bacterium. Its description in RNAcentral is "partial 16S ribosomal RNA". It matches the Rfam family "Bacterial small subunit ribosomal RNA", at positions 28 to 507 of the family's 1533-position model. The record is from RNAcentral.
GAUGAACGCUGGCGGCGUGCCUAAUACAUGCAAGUCGAGCGAACAGACGAGGAGCUUGCUCCUUUGACGUUAGCGGCGGACGGGUGAGUAACACGUGGAUAACCUACCUAUAAGACUGGGAUAACUUCGGGAAACCGGAGCUAAUACCGGAUAACAUGUUGAACCGCAUGGUUCAACAGUGAAAGACGGUCUUGCUGUCACUUAUAGAUGGAUCCGCGCCGCAUUAGCUAGUUGGUAAGGUAACGGCUUACCAAGGCAACGAUGCGUAGCCGACCUGAGAGGGUGAUCGGCCACACUGGAACUGAGACACGGUCCAGACUCCUACGGGAGGCAGCAGUAGGGAAUCCUCCGCAAUGGGCGAAAGCCUGACGGAGCAACGCCGCGUGAGUGAAGAAGGUCUUCGGAUCGUAAAACUCUGUUAUUAGGGAAGAACAAAUGUGUAAGUAACUAUGCACGUCUUGACGGUACCUAAUCAGAAAGCCACGGCUAACUACGUG